This 216-nucleotide ribosomal RNA is filed under the name Glomeromycotina sp. Its description in RNAcentral is "partial small subunit ribosomal RNA". The stretch from base 87 to 216 matches the Rfam family "Eukaryotic small subunit ribosomal RNA", at positions 733 to 864 of the family's 1831-position model. The record is from RNAcentral. Lineage: Eukaryota; Fungi; Glomeromycota.
GGGUCAGUAGGUUGGUCGUGCCACCGGUACGUACUGGUCUCACUGAUUCCCCCUUCCUGAAGAACCGUAAUGCCAUUAAUUCGGUGUUGCGGGGAAACAGGACUGUUACUUUGAAAAAAUUAGAGUGUUUAAAGCAAGCUAACGCUUGAAUACAUUAGCAUGGAAUAAUGAAAUAGGACGAUCGAUCCUAUUUUGUUGGUUUCUAGGAUUGACGUA